This is a long non-coding RNA of Cottoperca gobio, 2717 nucleotides long. RefSeq lists it as uncharacterized. The record is from RefSeq and is a predicted model, not a curated record. The transcript is spliced from 5 exons. Lineage: Eukaryota; Metazoa; Chordata; Actinopteri; Perciformes; Bovichtidae.
GUUACCUGGUGUCCUGCUCGUGGCGUCCUAGUGGCUUCCUCCGAUUGGUUUGUGUUAUUUUGUUACUUUGGAAUCACCUUGGUUUAAUGGAAGGCAUGCUUUUGUUAUAUCAUCGUCUGCUGAACUGCUUUUGGGUCCUCCCCUACACCACAACGUGACAGUACAACCCGACCAGGUAUGGCCCCAGCAGUUACCAUGGAGGAGGAACUCUAUGACCUCUCCUACACACUGAUGUAUAUGAGCCAAUGAGUGGAGGAGAGCUUCCGGUUGGGGGUCGAACAGGCUGCCCUAAGAUUGGCUUCAGAAUUUCCUUAAUACUCCUCACACAAUGUGAACCGGGGGAUCUUGAGCCUGCAACCCGCCGGCUCCAGCCCCUGACCCAUUCCUGGGUACUCUCCUGGCCCUGGGAGGUCCGCGGAGUGUCCAGAUCACCACCAGCUGAUUUCUCCUAAUAAGGUGAAGUGUCUGUUGUGUUCAAAAUAACUUGGAUACAACAAUAACACCUCAUCGACACUGAAUAGAGCCCUGCAUGAAAACAAGGAGACCAACCAAGGUGGACCAAGAUCAGGACAGAAGAAUGAUGUGGAUGAGGCCUUGGUCAAUAUGGCUUUGAAAGCUAUGGUGGAGGACAGAUGCAAGGAAUCCAAGGAGAAAGCCAAAGCUAUUGUGUCGAAGGCAUCUGCAGUUAGUUUAACAUCAUCAUAUGUGGACCUCUAUCAACAUUGAUGCGUAUCUAGCUGUGACAUGCCAUUUUAUAGAUGCAAGCACCUCUUUGUAUUCUUGUUUUAGGGGUAGGGGUUUAGGGGCACAAGUAAAAGCAGCACUUAUGUCACAGUGGGGUAUUACACACAAAGUUACUUGCCUUGUGACUGAUGGCGCAGCAAAUAUGGGUGCUUGUGCCAGGGAGUUUCGUUUGCAUCACACAAUUUGUGCAGCGCAUACAUUGAAUCUUGACCAAAACACUGUUGUCUGACAUCUGGGCAAACUCCAGGAAGAUAGUGGGCUAUUUCAAGAGCAGCACCACUACAAAGGAGAGGCUGACACGGGUGCAGGAGCAAAUGGGCUGGCCGGCACUGAAGCUGAUUCAAGAAGUUGAUUCACGCUGGAAUAGCACAUACCAGGCUCGUUUAAUUUUUUUAAUAAAUAAAGAAAGAAAAACAAGCUCAAAAUUGUCUGAGCCAUAUGGCGUCAUCGAAAGAGCCAUAGGUUCCCGACCCCUGCCCUAAACAGGAAGUCGGCCAUCUUGAAUGCAAUGUUCAAUAUUUGGCGAUAUUCUGCGGUUUACAGGUGACAUACUUUAAUAAACUCCUCCUAAAGAUUUCAUCCAAUCGACUUCAAAUUUGGUCAGUAUUAUCUAAAGACCUUCAGGAUGAAAACAUAACUAAAGCUUUCAUUUUCGAAGGAACGCCCUUGCCGUGGCGUUGCUGCCAUUUUGAGCAAUUUACCAAAAAAGAGGAAGUUGUUGUCACUUCAGCAAACAUUCUCCUACCUCCUCCAAAUUUCGUAUUAUAAGAUUAAUAAGAGUCGCGGCCUGCAGACAUCCAGGUGCAAAUAUUGACUUAUAGUAGAGUCAAAGUGCCACCUACUGGCAACAGGAAGUUACAGUUGCUAUACUUUGGCAUAGUGCUCUUAGCAGGAUAACCAGAUCACCCUUAUAAUUAGUCAGCUCAAUGUUAAGACCUUCCCCUUGGCAGACUGCAAAGCCUUUGCGUUUUCAUGGAACGCUGUUGCCGUGGCAUCAUUCGCCUUGAAACAUGAGGUUGUUUUUAGGGUCAAAGGAUUUCUGAAAACAGACAAACCUUAGCACACACAUUAACAGUGAUAAAAUGUGUAAACUGAUACGUUUUUUGGGAUUGGGUGUCGUUCAUUAGCGCCCCCUAACAGCCAUCGCGGUAGGUUUCACCUAGAUGUACGAAAUUUGCCAGGCACGUGUAUCUUAUUUAAACUUUGUUUUAAAAGGUAUGGGGCUAUAAUUUUAGAAUUUUCAAUUUAGUGUGAUUAUUUUUUUGUUUGCAUUUUAAGGAAUUUUAGGGCAAUUUUUGCCGUCUGCAGGCUCCGUACUUUAACUAUUUCCUCCUAAAGUGUUUACCCGAUUGACUUCCAAUUUAGUGAGUGUAAUCUUGAGACCUUUCUGAGCAAACAAUAUUGAAAAUCUCGAGUUUACGCUGAACUAUUUAGCCGUUCUGUGGUGGUCAAAUAGUUCAAAUAGUUAAAACAGGAAAUUGUUGAGCAUGGAAUAUACACUCCAAAUUUCUUGUGCUUGAUUUACAACCAAUAUUUACGCACAGUCAUAGCGCCACCUCAUGGCAACAGGUAGUUACCCUUAUGUGACAAAAAUCAUCCCAUUGACAUGACACUUACAGUCUGGUCUACACCUGAGGUGCGAGUACGAUUACUACGUGCUCUCUAGUGCCACAUAGUGGACACAGGAAGUGACCUCAGCUAACGGCCUGACGUGCGCAUAGCGUGAGGGCCAACUCAUCGUUGCUUGUAACUUUCAUUUUAUUUGUUUUUAAAGCACUACAUGGACACUCUGGGUUCUUUGUAUUUUAUUAAGUUAUUUGUGCAAUACUGAUAUGUUAUGUUUUUAUCAUGAUAUUGUAUGCUUUUACUAAUUUACUUAUAUUCUGUUAUCUAAGUCAGUGUUUUUAUUGGACUAUUCCUUCCUUUCUCCUUUUUUUAAAUGUGCUCUAUGAAUAAACUUGACUUGACACACA